Glycine max (soybean) is the source of this 137-nucleotide non-coding RNA. The record is from Rfam. NCBI's taxonomy places the organism in Eukaryota, Viridiplantae, Streptophyta, Magnoliopsida, Fabales, Fabaceae.
CCCAUGGAUGAUGAUGAUGUCAUCAUCCACACCCUUAAUGGUCUUGAAAAGGAAUGUAAAGAAGUCACUACUGCCAUUCACUCAUGAAAAUCCGAUUGGUUUUGAGGAGUUACAUGAUCUCUUUAUUAUUUUCCAAA